This is a long non-coding RNA of Brachypodium distachyon (stiff brome), 1623 nucleotides long. RefSeq lists it as uncharacterized. The record is from RefSeq and is a predicted model, not a curated record. NCBI's taxonomy places the organism in Eukaryota, Viridiplantae, Streptophyta, Magnoliopsida, Poales, Poaceae. The transcript has 2 exons.
CACGUACCCGGCCGCGGCCCGGUCCAAGCCCUCGCCGCCGCCGUCCGCCGCCGCGAGCCCGAACCCUAACCCGCCGGCCACCUUCGCCGCCAGCGCCCCCGUCAGCAGCACGUUCGACGACCGGAUGUCCCGGUGGAUCACCGCCCGCCCCGCGUGCUCGUGAAGAUCAGGAUUAGUUUAGUUUAUCUGAAUCCAAAAAAUUCAGGGACUGCAAUGAACUGAACGAUGAUCAGUUCAGAUUAACACGCACCGUCCAAGUGUUCCCUCAACGAGCCAUUGUCGACAUGCUCGAAGACCAUCAGCGUCUCGUCCUUCUGCUCGACUGAUCCGAGGAACCUCACGAGGUUCGGGUGCUCCAUCUUCUGGAGCGUUCCGAGGUCCCUGCCAAGUUCAGUAGACAGAUUCCGGCCGCCGCCUAACUGCAACAAACAAUGAACAGCAGCUGAUCAGUACGCAGUACUCCGGUAGUCCAGUCCAUCAGGCUCCAUGAACAAUUAACAAGUCAUUCGUGACCUUUCUGGCACGUUUGACGGCGAUUUGUGACCCGUCCUUGAGCGUGCCUCUGUAGACGCUGCCGGAACCUCCCUGCCUCACCAAGUUCUUCUCGCUGAAGUUCGAGGUCGCGUUGGAGAUGUCCGCAACGGUGAGUACUUCUGAACUGUCCCUGCCUCUUCCUGCUGCAACCAAUACUCGGAUUUUUGUAAGGAUUUCUCAUGCUCGUAUUGGCAAAAUUGCCUUGCCGGAGAUAAAUGAUUCGGAGUUUCAGACAGAGGUGUGCGUGGAGUCCUGGUGAUAGAUACCUGAAUCUGUGGAGACAUGGUAGCCUGCACUCCUGCUGCCCUGAGAGUGAGAAUUGCCCGAUUUGCUUCUGCUCCCGUGGGAAAGAGAAGUCUCCCGUUCUUCAUCGGCCUUGGCUUUCCUGACCCGGGGCACGAAGCAACCGCUGAACACGCCGGCGACGCCCCGCGCGGCGACCCUGAAGGACGAGCUGCUGCUGCGAGUCGUCGAGCUCCGGCUCAUCUGCGAAGCCGGCGCGCUGUACGAGGAGGCCUGGCGCCGGUAGGCAGGGUACCCGUCACCAUAGGAGGUAGAAGAGGCCUUGCUGUACCCGCUUAGGCUGCUGCCGGUGAUGCUGAUGCUGGGCUGCCUCUUGGCUGCAGGCAAUUCCAUGGCGGGAAGGAACAGAGGAGGAGAAGCUUGGUUGAUCUGCUUUGCUACUGCUUGUGCUGCUGUUGUUGGUGUUCCACGGAUCAUGCCAUGGGGAUUAGGGAUGAGAUCGAUGGUGGUCAACGGCGGCUCGCCGGAGGUUGCCGGGUCAACGGGGCCUGCUUGCUUGGAGGGAGGGCCUGUGCUGCUACGCGUGCAGGCUGCUGCCGCUGCGUGGAUUCUGCACCAUUUGCUGAUUUGUUUGACCUCAAGGAGAGUAGCGAGAUAAUAUAUCUUGGUGAUUUCUUGGUGGAAUAUUGAUUUCGUCUUGUUCGUGGAAUGUUUUGUUUUGUUUUGUUGUUGCUCGUGGAAUGUUUAUGCCUGACUACCUGUCACUGUUUUCGGUUUGUGUUUAAAGGCAGAGCUAGGGACUUGGUCAUGGUGGAUUUUUGGUCUAUUUGUGUGGUUUGGGAAGCA